GGAAACAAGUAUGACAGACAAGCAUAUGACUACUGGCAGGAUCAACCAGGUAGCACGUCCUCAUCGACGAGCCGACAUGGAGACUGGCACACGCCAGCCAGCUAGUGGCAUGAAGUGGCAAUCACCGAGCCGACUGUCGUACAUUGAGAGAGCUUUCGUUAGGGACGCGACCGCAACGGGUCACGAGCCUUUAUCAUUUGCAACAUCCGAAACCAAUAGUGCGAGCGAGGUGGCCUUGGAAGCACCGGGCACGUAGGGCACCAGCACCACGAGGCAACGCCGCACGAACUAUUAGGCCGCAGCGGAACUCCCUUGGGGGUCCACAGCGAGGCAACCGUGUAUGAAGCACAACUUCCCGUAGUUUGGGUACCAGCAUGCAAGCACUCGUCGAUGGAGCGGAAUGGUUAGAACCGCAAGAAUGAUAGGAUAUCGGCGCCAGUAGUCGGCCGCACAUCGGCGGGGGUCCUGCUGGCAGACACGAGUCCAAGACAACUCAUGCGCUCGCGUAGCCAACUGG
Molecule: unclassified non-coding RNA, 517 nt
Filed under: Nassella neesiana
Lineage: Eukaryota; Viridiplantae; Streptophyta; Magnoliopsida; Poales; Poaceae
Description: partial external transcribed spacer 1
Source: RNAcentral